GACAGAGGGUGCGAACGUUGUUCGGAAUUACUGGGCGUAAAGCGCGUGUAGGCGGCCGCGCAAGUCGGGCGUGAAAUCCCACGGCUCAACCGUGGAAGUGCACUCGAAACUGCGCAGCUAGAGUCCUGGAGAGGAAGGUGGAAUGCUUGGUGUAGAGGUGAAAUUCGUAGAUAUCAAGCGGAACACCGGUGGCGAAGGCGGCCUUCUGGACAGUGACUGACGCUGAGACGCGAAAGCGUGGGGAGCAAACGGG
This 253-nucleotide ribosomal RNA is filed under the name uncultured bacterium. RNAcentral's name for it is "partial 16S ribosomal RNA". It matches the Rfam family "Bacterial small subunit ribosomal RNA", at positions 524 to 776 of the family's 1533-position model. The record is from RNAcentral.